GACUUGACUUGACAUCCACACUCUCCUUUGUCUUACAGCAUUACCUGAUUCAACUAACAAUGGAGAUCAGGUCCAUUGUCUUCUUCACCGCAAUACUGGCCUCAAUUAAUAGUAUUAGCUGCCAGAUCCGACUGGAUCAGUCUCCUGCUGAGGUAAAAAGACCAGGAGAGAAGGUCAAGAUCUCAUGUAAAAUAAGCGGCUAUUCAAUGACGAGCUAUAACAUACACUGGAUACGCCAGAAACCAGGAGAGGCUUUGGAGUGGGUCGGAAGAAUGAGCACUGGAAAUAAUGCUGGUACUUUUGCAGAGUCUCUGAAGGGCCAGUUCACCCUGACUGAAGACGUCCCCACCCAGCAUGCAGUACUUAGAGGCCAAGAGUCUGAAAGCAGAGGACACUGCUGUUUACUACUGUGCACGACAGGCACAGUGACUGAAGCUGGUGAAGCAGCUGCACAAAAAACCACAGACUCAAGAUUAGAAGGAUUAAAAUAGGGAAACCGGGGCUCAGUACUUUAAUGGUUUUCUUUGGAUAACAUAAAAAGGAUAACUCUAGAGUAGCCAAGCAAUUGGAACGCUACCUGUUAUGACUAAGCAUGUUUUUGUUUGUCAGUUUGAUUUU
Non-coding RNA from Clupea harengus (Atlantic herring), 618 nucleotides. The record is from the annotation of a RefSeq genome assembly. NCBI's taxonomy places the organism in Eukaryota, Metazoa, Chordata, Actinopteri, Clupeiformes, Clupeidae.